CGCAGCCGCGGUAAUUCCAGCUCCAAUAGCGUAUAUUAAAGUUGUUGCAGUUAAAAAGCUCGUAGUUGAAUUUCGGGAUCAGUAGGUUGGUCAUGCCUCUGGUAUGUACUGGUCUCACUGGUUCCUCCUUCCUGAUGAACCGUAAUGCCAUUAAUUUGGUGUUGCGGGGGAGACUGGACUGUUACUUUUGAAAAAAAUUAGAGUGUUUAAAGCAGGCUUACGCUUGAAUACAUUAGCAUGGAAUAAUGAAAUAGGACGUUCGAUCCUAUUUUGUUGGUUUUCUAGGAUUGACGUAAUGAUUAAUAGGGAUAGUUGGGGGCAUUAGUAUUCAAUUGUCAGAGGUGAAAAUUCUUGGAUUUAUUGAAGACUAACUACUGCGAAAAGCAUUUGCCAAGGAUGUUUUCAUUAAUCAAGAACGAAAGUUAGGGGAUCGAAGACGAUCAGAUACCGUCGUAGUCUUAACCAUAAACUAUGCCGACUAGGGAUCGGAUGAUGUUAAUUUUUUAAUGUACUCAUUCGG
Molecule: ribosomal RNA, 520 nt
Filed under: uncultured Glomeraceae
Lineage: Eukaryota; Fungi; Glomeromycota; Glomeromycetes; Glomerales; Glomeraceae
Description: SSU rRNA
Rfam family: Eukaryotic small subunit ribosomal RNA
Source: RNAcentral